RNAcentral lists this ribosomal RNA (275 nucleotides) under uncultured archaeon. RNAcentral's name for it is "partial 16S rRNA". It matches the Rfam family "Archaeal small subunit ribosomal RNA", at positions 343 to 621 of the family's 1478-position model. The record is from RNAcentral.
CCGAUUUCAUGCCGGGCAACCGCUGGAUAAGGGGACCGAGUGCCCGUCAUAAUCGGGUGGCUUUCCACCUGCCUAAAAAGCAUUGACAUAGCAAGGGCCGGGCAAGACCGGCUGCCAGCCGCCGUCGGUAACACCGGCGCGCUCGAGUGGUAACCGUUAUUAUUGGUGUCUAAAGGGUCUGUAGCCGGCUAAUUAAGUUCUUUGGGAAAUCUCGGUUAACGGAAGGCGUCUCCAGGGAAACUGGCAGACUAGGGACCCGGGAGAGGAGAGACUCC